Molecule: long non-coding RNA, 835 nt
Filed under: Homo sapiens (human)
Lineage: Eukaryota; Metazoa; Chordata; Mammalia; Primates; Hominidae
Description: non-protein coding LINC01704:21
Source: RNAcentral
UCCUUUGCCCAGCACACCUGUCACUCACCUCAACCCUUUCUCUCUUUUCCCCAUCUUUCUGUGGCUAGCUCCUCCUCAUUCUUUAGGUCUCAGUGUAGAUAGCACCACUAUCAGGAAGGAGUCCAGACACUGCCAGGCCUAAGAAAUGUAAAUUAAAUGCUCUCAAGGGAUGAGAGACACUGGAAGCUGGGACGCUCUUGGAACUCUGUUGCCAUCAUCAAGGCUUCCAGAUACAGCCCUCUAGGUCAUCCAGAGGUGCCAGCCAGCCCUCACCAGUGGUCAGCUUUUCCUCAGUGGAGUGGUAGGUGAGCCAGUGGAGCUUGCUCUGAAGAUACUAGAGGGAGCCAAAGCUGUCUGGCCCUUCAGUGUGACUCAGUUUCCAGACUCUUUCUCUUUAGACAUAAAUGAAGAACAAGUCAACCUUGAUGCCUUUGAGGGUUGGUUCAGCGGAUGAUGUGUUGUGGGGUUUUCCCACAGGUCAGCAGUCCAACUACCAGGGCCAGAGCCCCAUCAAAGAAUCUUCAGUGCCAGCCAGAAAGAAUGAUGAACUCCUCGUGUAAAGGGAGUUUGGGGCAACCAGUCAAACCAUGGCCUCAUGGGAAGCAGCUGACUAGGCAAUGAGAGAGGAAUACAAAAGACAAGGCACUGCGAAGCCAAGUCUGGUUGGGGAGAAGAAACCAAUAUGCCUGAAACAGGGAACCAGAAAGGACUCAGACAAAACUGCUGACAAGUAUGGGGUUUCUUGGGGUAGGUGGUGAAAAUAUUCCAAAAUAAGAUUAUAGCGAUGUUUUAAUAAUCCCCUGGAUAUAAUAAAAAAACAUCGAAUUGUACACUU